UACGAAGGGGGCUAGCGUUGCUCGGAAUCACUGGGCGUAAAGGGCGCGUAGGCGGCGCAACAAGUCACUUGUGAAAUCUCCGGGCUUAACUCGGAGCGGCCAAGUGAUACUGUCGUGCUAGAGUGCGGAAGGGGCAACUGGAAUUCUCGGUGUAGCGGUGAAAUGCGUAGAUAUCGAGAGGAACACCUGCGGCGAAGGCGGGUUGCUGGGCCGACACUGACGCUGAUGCGCGAAAGCCAGGGGAGCAAACGGG
Molecule: ribosomal RNA, 253 nt
Filed under: uncultured bacterium
Lineage: Bacteria
Description: partial 16S ribosomal RNA
Rfam family: Bacterial small subunit ribosomal RNA
Source: RNAcentral